RNAcentral lists this ribosomal RNA (397 nucleotides) under uncultured bacterium. RNAcentral's name for it is "bacterial SSU rRNA". It matches the Rfam family "Bacterial small subunit ribosomal RNA", at positions 57 to 442 of the family's 1533-position model. The record is from RNAcentral.
GCCCGCGGAGUUAUUAAAGAAGCUUGCUUCUUUAAUAACUUAGCGGCGGACGGGUGAGUAACACGUAGGCAACCUGCCUCUAAGACUGGGAUAACUAGUGGAAACAUUAGCUAAUACCGGAUAGGUAUUUCUGGCGCAUGCCGAGAAUGGGAAAGACGGAGCAAUCUGUCACUUAGAGAUGGGCCUGCGGCGCAUUAGCUAGUUGGUAGGGUAGAGGCCUACCAAGGCGACGAUGCGUAGCCGACCUGAGAGGGUGAUCGGCCACACUGGGACUGAGACACGGGCCAAACUCCUACGGGAGGCAGCAGUAGGGAAUCUUCCGCAAUGGACGAAAGUCUGACGGAGCAACGCCCGCGUGAGUGAUGAAGGUUUUCGGAUCGUAAAGCUCUGUUGCCAG